CCCUUCCCUUUCAUGGAUCUCAGGAUCUGCUUACCCUUCCGGAGCACCUGGGAUCACCCUUAGUUUUUUUUGGUGGGGUUCGUGUUGUUUAUUCUUUAGUUUUCUAUGUUGUGUCAUGUGUGCUGUUGUUUGUUUGUCUUUUUCAUUUUUAGCCAUGGCGUUGUCAGUUUGUUUAAGAUUUAUGAGUUUGACUGUCCCUUUGGUAUCUUUCGCCCCUCUUUUAAACGACAAGUUUAAUUGCAAUUAGUCAGUUACUGCGUUCUGUACCUUUACACAAAGGAGUUUAGUGUAAAGUUCAUUUUCCCUGAACUAUAUUUUUACAAUAAUGUAUCUAUACUAUUAAACGAGAAGACCUCAUUUUGGGUGUCGCUUCUCUUCUUUCCACAAUAAAUUAAUCAACACGCCUCUGUGUCCGUACAGUGCAUAGUCGCAUUUGUCAUCCAUUCAUAUGAUUAUUCUUCCGGUUUGCGUUUUUCUGUAUACUUUGAACAUACAUAUACUACGAAUAAAGUGUAUUUUCAGAAUUCUAUCUGCUAUCAUUUUCAAGUUUACUAUCCACGGUGGUCACAGAGUUUAUUAAAUAGAGAGGGUCUGUAUACUAUAUCAAUGACCACCAUGGAUCGAUUAGAAAACUUAGAAUUGAAAGUAAAUACACUU
Molecule: long non-coding RNA, 657 nt
Filed under: Mytilus galloprovincialis (Mediterranean mussel)
Lineage: Eukaryota; Metazoa; Mollusca; Bivalvia; Mytilida; Mytilidae
Source: RNAcentral